CUGGGUUAUGGAAUUCCAUAAAGCAUAAUUACCCACUCAGGAUGCACUUUCGCCGCAAGUAGUAGGCUGCUAUUAAAAUAAUAUGUGCCUUUUUUUUUUUUUUCCUAAACAAUGGAUGGAGGCCUUUGUGUUUCACAAAAUAAGUAUAACUAGUGAUGUAACCGCGGAAUCCACGGUUUAUGCAAAAUUGUAUUUUUCUUUAUUGUUUGAUAUGAAAAUUUUCUUUUAGCAAAUUCUUGU
This 240-nucleotide long non-coding RNA is filed under the name Jatropha curcas. Its description in RNAcentral is "long non-coding RNA (JCUR_LNC001967)". The record is from RNAcentral. Lineage: Eukaryota; Viridiplantae; Streptophyta; Magnoliopsida; Malpighiales; Euphorbiaceae.